GAGUUUGAUCCUGGCUCAGGACGAACGCUGGCGGCGUGCUUAACACAUGCAAGUCGAACGCUGAAGCCUAGCUUUUGUUGGGUGGAUGAGUGGCGAACGGGUGAGUAACACGUGAGUAACCUGCCCCCUUCUUUGGGAUAACGCCCGGAAACGGGUGCUAAUACUGGAUAUUCACUGAUCUUCGCAUGGGGGUUGGUGGAAAGGUUUUUUCUGGUGGGGGAUGGGCUCGCGGCCUAUCAGCUUGUUGGUGGGGUGAUGGCCUACCAAGGCUUUGACGGGUAGCCGGCCUGAGAGGGUGACCGGUCACAUUGGGACUGAGAUACGGCCCAGACUCCUACGGGAGGCAGCAGUGGGGAAUAUUGCACAAUGGGCGAAAGCCUGAUGCAGCGACGCCGCGUGAGGGAUGGAGGCCUUCGGGUUGUAAACCUCUUUCGCUCAUGUCAAGCCGCAACAUUGGUUG
Molecule: ribosomal RNA, 460 nt
Filed under: Schaalia odontolytica
Lineage: Bacteria; Bacillati; Actinomycetota; Actinomycetes; Actinomycetales; Actinomycetaceae
Description: bacterial SSU rRNA
Rfam family: Bacterial small subunit ribosomal RNA
Source: RNAcentral